Molecule: ribosomal RNA, 93 nt
Filed under: Fusarium pseudograminearum CS3096
Lineage: Eukaryota; Fungi; Ascomycota; Sordariomycetes; Hypocreales; Nectriaceae
Source: RNAcentral
ACGACCAAAGCUCGUAGAAAAUACGGGAUCCCGUCCGCUCUCCCAUAGUCAAGCUGCGAAGCGCUGGAUUAGUAGUUGGGUCGGUGACGACCA